GAUCUACACACAGUGAUUUUUCAGCCCAGAAGCCUGAGUGCCCUGAGCCUGAUCUGGGCCACCCACAUGGUUGUUUUUUUUAUCCCUCAUACAGUCUUCCCAGUCGGUGGAGGGUUCAACUGGGUAAUUUGAUUGGUGGGUGGGCUGGGGCGGUGAGAGAACAAGACGCAGAAAAUAAUAGCGUGACCCUAGAAAAAGCGAGCAAGAGAGCUAGUUGCCAGUGCCCUCCCUCUGCGCACCAGAUGCUUGGUUCUACGUGUCACCUUCCCCUCUAGGCGCUGCAAGGGAGGUAACUUGGAUUCACCCAGGUGCCGGAGGGCUGGAACCAGGUGCCACUGGCCCUUGGGCUGCUGCGAGUCAAACUGUCCCCUCCCCCCUCGCUGGCAAAUGCCCCUGUCCAGGUUGCUGCGACUUUAAUGCGAAACCGAAAGCGAAAGGCACCGAAUCCACUGGAAUUAAAUUUCCCCAAACUCUUCUGCGGACUUUUCCAGGCGCCUGGGGCGGAUCCGCCGAGCCGGGACUUUGCGCCCUCACUCACAUGCCCCCCUUUCUGCUGCCUUUCGGGGCUGAAACGUCCCCAGCCUGAUACCCUAAUGAAGCUGCCUACGUCCCGGCCCCAGCCGCCGCCGCCGGGGAUCUGACCCUGCGCCCCCGUCCUGGAGAGGCUGGCGCCCUUCCCUAGCUCUUCCCAUGCCAUGGCCCGGCUGCUGCUCUUGUUGUGCGGCAGCGUCGGGCUCCUGUCCGCCUGCACCAGCGCGGCCGCGCUGCAAGAAAGAUGCAGCACACCAAAGGAGGUCAACAAUGCAGAUGUUACGGUCGGCAAUAAUAAUCUGUUGAAUGCCAGCCUCCGGUACACAUGCAAAGAUGGUUACAAAAGGAAAGCUGGGACAUCCAGUCUCAUUGUGUGUGUAAUGGACAAAGUCACCAAAACACUCCGUUGGACCGAGCCAAAUCUACAUUGUAUUAGGGACCCUGCUCUACCUCCUGUAACUUCCAGCCCCAAACAGACAACAUCAGCACCUAGGACAGAGGCGACUAGUCUUGUCAGCAAAGAAUCAAAGACUUUUACACCAUCUAAACCACCAGUAACUGCAGAGAUUACCACAGUCCCAGUCAUGGCCUCCACACCAUCCUAUGAAAGGGAGAUCACUUCACCACUAGCAGGCCCCGUCUCACAGCUCAGGACUGACAAGCCUUCACGGGAAACACUUGCACCAGCAACAACUGAGAUCAGGUCAUCAAAGGGGCCUGCUUGCGUGAGCACGGAAGACACAACACAACGGCGCACCACAGCCACGCAGGACACACACACGACCCAGCUCUGGACGGAUGAGCCAUUGUUGGAAACAGUUACAACAGAAGGAGAUUGGUCAACAGCAGUGCCAACCAGUGUGACCACAGGAGACUCAACACAGCUUCUCACCGCAGUCACCCAUAACACUAAAGGUGCUACACGUCGAGCUUGACUUUCUGAUCUCCCCACCCAUCCGCCCACAGAUGCGCCUACUGGGUCUCCCCAACUCCUCCCUCAUCGUCUUUCACCACCCCACCCCACUCUCUGGGUCCACACCUUGUGGGUCUUGAAGCCUCUUCAGCCCCACUGGGUUGCUUAGACCCUUCGUUCUUUCACCCUCCUCCAGCUCUCUCAAUUCACACUGUAUCUCUGGGCCUCCUUACUGUCUCUCCCAAUCCGUCAUAUAGACGAAGACAACAGCAUCUCUAUACCUUCUGCACUGGCCUCAGGGGUGGGGAGUUGUGAAGCGGGCCUGGAAAGGAGGAGGAAGAGGAAGAAGAGGAGCUGCCCGUCCCUAGUCACGCAGUACUCCUCCAGCCCUGUGUUCACAUCACUGGGCAAGGGGCCUAGGCAGCGCACAUUGACCCAGCCACCUCAGCUGAGUAGGAGUGAGGCACACUAAAUCCUACCUCACAAAAGCCUGCGGAGAUACCUCAGCCCCAACCCAGCUAGCUAACCAAGCACAUUAAUAAACUUGCCUGUUCGCCUUCA
This 2005-nucleotide long non-coding RNA is filed under the name Chrysemys picta bellii (western painted turtle). RNAcentral's name for it is "lncRNA (ENSCPBG00000017501.1)". The record is from RNAcentral. Lineage: Eukaryota; Metazoa; Chordata; Testudines; Emydidae.